RNAcentral lists this ribosomal RNA (327 nucleotides) under uncultured bacterium. RNAcentral's name for it is "bacterial SSU rRNA". It matches the Rfam family "Bacterial small subunit ribosomal RNA", at positions 355 to 674 of the family's 1533-position model. The record is from RNAcentral.
UGGGGAAUCUUGGACAAUGGGCGCAAGCCUGAUCCAGCCAUGCCGCGUGCGGGAAGAAGGCCUUCGGGUUGUAAACCGCUUUUGUCAGGGAAGAAACGGUUCGUACUAAUACUGUGAACUAAUGACGGUACCUGAAGAAUAAGCACCGGCUAACUACGUGCCAGCAGCCGCGGUAAUACGUAGGGUGCAAGCGUUAAUCGGAAUUACUGGGCGUAAAGCGUGCGCAGGCGGCUAUGCAAGACAGAUGUGAAAUCCCCGGGCUCAACCUGGGAACUGCAUUUGUGACUGCAUAGCUGGAGUGCGGCAGAGCGGGCUGGCAAGGCGCAU